Non-coding RNA from Aedes albopictus (Asian tiger mosquito), 58 nucleotides. NCBI's taxonomy places the organism in Eukaryota, Metazoa, Arthropoda, Insecta, Diptera, Culicidae. The record is from Rfam.
UAGCCUAGUGGUUAAGGCUAUGGAUCGCCAAUCCGGAGACGACGGGUUCAAUUCCCGU